CUACUCAACUUAUUGCGUCAAUAAAUCUGACAUCAGAGACGAUCGAAAUGUGCGCAUGUCGAUCUGUCAACAAGUGGUAAAAACAUUACAACGUUCCGAAUUUAAUGGUCUCUUUCGUCAUAAUAUUUAUAAGUAUAACACCGUAUACCAAGGCCGUAUUUGUAGGGAAAUCGCGAAAUUAAAAAAGGUGAAAAAGGGGUGGACCAGCAGCAUCGAUUUCGAAAUGUGAAAAAAAAAGUAUGAUAAAACGGUAGAUGAGUCAUAUGGAGAGAAAUCAAUCACAGUAGCUGUUGGUUUUUAUUCACUUGCUUUCUCGAGAUACAGAUAGAUAUAUCUAGGCACAGCAUAACAAUCCUUGCUUCCUGGGGUUCACUGUGGAAUAAUAAAGUGUCACAAAACAAUGGAACAUCUGCAAUGAAACAUCAGUUGCCACUCUACAUCAUGUUGUGCUACAGUAUCCAGAUAACGGUCAAUAUUGCUAAAGGCUACAAGAAUUUUUCUGGAGAAGGAUUGAAAUGAAAAUUGGAGCUGCUGUUGAAAAAAAAAGGGCUGUUGGAGAAAAAUCUAGUGAAUGCUUAAAAGAUCUUGCCAGACCACCUGAGUCAAAUUCUGGAGCAGGACUGGUGAGAAAUGAAAAUUUGAGUAAGGAUCAUCAAACAGACGGUACGGCCGUUUCGAGGAUUUACUACACGCUCGGCAAAGGAAAUGUACUGAAUAAUGCGGCUUUGCAUAUCUGGGGGUUACAUUGAAGGCAAGCUGUAUCAAGAGAAGAUGGAAACUACGCUGGCGCAAGAAGAAAGCAGUCGAGAAGAAGUUGUAGAGAAUAGUUGACAAUUUUUGUAUAUUCAUCUGGUUUUGAAGAAUCUUUAGAACGUAGACAAUCGAAAUGUGGAUGAUCUGAAACCAAUAUCGGAAAAGCUAGAAAUUACGCACACAGUAGAGUUUAUUAUUUAAUCAUAAAAUGGAUAAAAUUCAUAAAAGUUGAAGUGAUAUUGUUGAAAAUUCGAGUAUAUAAUUUUAAAACUGCAGUACAUAAAUUCGCACAAACCCUUUUUAUUUUUAGUAAACGUAAAAACACAUUGAAAACAAAUAAAGAAUGAUAGCUAUAAUAGUAAGUUAAACGCCAAGUGUAUCCAAAAUGUGUUUGUGGUCCUGAUUCGCUUUACUGUUUAUCCUCAUGUAGA
This is a long non-coding RNA of Armigeres subalbatus, 1184 nucleotides long. RefSeq lists it as uncharacterized. NCBI's taxonomy places the organism in Eukaryota, Metazoa, Arthropoda, Insecta, Diptera, Culicidae. The transcript has 3 exons. The record is from RefSeq and is a predicted model, not a curated record.